Long non-coding RNA from Drosophila miranda, 13064 nucleotides. RefSeq lists it as uncharacterized. NCBI's taxonomy places the organism in Eukaryota, Metazoa, Arthropoda, Insecta, Diptera, Drosophilidae. The transcript has 5 exons. The record is from RefSeq and is a predicted model, not a curated record.
AUAUAUACAAAAUGAGUGGUGAUCUUGAAAAUGAAAUGCACAUUCGUGCUAUUUGGCCAACAGUUGAUUUAUGUUAUUUUCUAAUUCAUAAAUCUCUUGUGUGCCAUACAGCAAGAUGUGUGCUUUAUCCUCAUGUAUCCUUUGCAUAUCUUCGAUCAAGAUAUGAGUAUUCGACGAAUUCUCAAUUGAUUAAUUCCAUUUUAAAGUUUUUACAAGAAUUGAUUUGUGACGCUUUGCCAAUUUUAACAUAUUAAUAUAUAUAUUAUUUUCAGACGAUGAUCGCUUUAUAUCCCUGUACUGAAAAGAAGUGAGCCCUCGGCAAGAUGUAUGAACGAUUUAAGCCCACAUUUUCAGUUUUUUACCAGGUUAGAUUUGCGAAACGUUGAGUUUAGGUCGUAUCACAGCUCUAACCUGGCAAUUUUGCUUGAAAAAUACCUCGUUUUAGAACAUUUUGAGAUACGCGCACAUUUUUCAAGUGAUCGAAGACAGUUUAAUAAAGAAAAUACAAAAUUUGCAUUUCACUUUAGAAAUACAAAGCAUGUGUGGUAUUUUAUCUCAUACAUAUCUUGUGUUUCUAGGUCAAAUGUGAGUACUCGACGAAUUCCCAAUUGAGAAGACCCAGUUUUAAGUUUGUUACCAGGUCGAUUGAAAAUUACCUAUAUUUGAAGAAGAAUAUAUACAAAAAGAGUGGUGAUAUUGAAAAUGAAAGUGUUUCCCCGGCCAAACGCACAUUCGUGCUAAAUGGCACACAGUUGAUUUAUGUUAUUUUCUAGUUCAUAAGUCCCUUGAGUGCCAUAGAGCAAGAUGUGUGAUGUAUCCUCAUGUAUCCUUUGCAUAUCUUCGAUCAAGAUAUGAGUAUUCGACGAAUUCUCAAUUGAUUAAUUACAUUUUAAAGUUUUUACAAGAAUUGAUUUGUGACGCUUUGCCAAUUUUAACAUAUUAAUAUAUAUAUUAUUUUCAGACGAUGAUCGCUUUAUAUCCCUGUACUGAAAAGAAGUGAGCCCUCGGCAAGAUGUAUGAACGAUUUAAGCCCACAUUUUCAGUUUUUUACCAGAUUAGAUUUGCGAAACGUAGAGUUUAGGUCGUAUCACAGCUCUAACCUGGCAAUUUUGCUUGAAAAAUACCUCCUUUUAGAACAUUUUGAGAUACGCGCACAAUUUUCAAGUGAUCGAAGACAGUUUAAUAAAGAAAAUACAAAAUUUGCAUUUCACUUUAGAAAUACAAAGCAUGUGUGGUAUUUUAUCUCAUACAUAUCUUGUGUUUCUAGGUCAAAUGUGAGUACUCGACGAAUUCCCAAUUGAGAAGACCCAGUUUUAAGUUUGUUACCAGGUCGAUUGAAAAUUACCUAUAUUUGAAGAAGAAUAUAUACAAAAAGAGUGGUGAUAUUGAAAAUGAAAGUGUUUCCCCGGCCAAACGCACAUUCGUGCUAAAUGGCACACAGUUGAUUUAUGUUAUUUUCUAGUUCAUAAGUCCCUUGAGUGCCAUAGAGCAAGAUGUGUGAUGUAUCCUCAUGUAUCCUUUGCAUAUCUUCGAUCAAGAUAUGAGUAUUCGACGAAUUCUCAAUUGAUUAAUUCCAUUUUAAUGUUUUUACAAGAAUUGAUUUGUGACGCUUUGCCAAUUUUAACAUAUUAAUAUAUAUAUUAUUUUCAGACGAUGAUCGCUUUAUAUCCCUGUACUGAAAAGAAGUGAGCCCUCGGCAAGAUGUAUGAACGAUUUAAGCCCACAUUUUCAGUUUUUUACCAGGUUAGAUUUGCGAAACGUUGAGUUUAGGUCGUAUCACAGCUCUAACCUGGCAAUUUUGCUUGAAAAAUACCUCGUUUUAGAACAUUUUGAGAUACGCGCACAUUUUUCAAGUGAUCGAAGACAGUUUAAUAAAGAAAAUACAAAAUUUGCAUUUCACUUUAGAAACACAAAGCAUGUGUGGUAUUUUAUCUCAUACAUAUCUUGUGUUUCUAGAUCAAAUGUGAGUACUCGACGAAUUCCCAAUUGAGAAGUCCCAGUUUUAAGUUUGUUACCAGGUCGAUUGAAAAAUACCUAUAUUUGAAGAAGAAUAUAUACAAAAUGAGUGGUGAUCUUGAAAAUGAAAUGCACAUUCGUGCUAUUUGGCCAACAGUUGAUUUAUGUUAUUUUCUAAUUCAUAAAUCUCUUGUGUGCCAUACAGCAAGAUGUGUGCUUUAUCCUCACGUAUCCUUUGCAUGGCUUAGAUCAAGAUAUGAGUAAUCGACGAAUUCUCAAUUGAGUAAUUCCAGCUUAAAGUUUGUUACAAGAAUGGAUUUGUGACGCUUUGCCAAUUUUAACAUAUUAAUAUAUAUAUUAUUUUCAGACGAUGAUCGCUUUAUAUCCCUGUACUGAAAAGAAGUGAGCCCUCGGCAAAAUGUAUGAACGAUUUAAGGCCCACAUUUUCAGUUUUUUACCAGGUUAGAUUUGCGAAACGUUGAGUUUAGGUCGUAUCACAGCUCUAACCUGGCAAUUUUGCUUGAAAAAUACCUCCUUUUAGAACAUUUUGAGAUACGCGCACAAUUUUCAAGUGAUCGAAGACAGUUUAAUAAAGAAAAUACAAAAUUUGCAUUUCACUUUAGAAAUACAAAGCAUGUGUGGUAUUUUAUCUCAUACAUAUCUUGUGUUUCUAGGUCAAAUGUGAGUACUCGACGAAUUCCCAAUUGAGAAGACCCCGUUUUAAGUUUGUUACCAGGUCGAUUGAAAAAUACCUAUAUUUGAAGAAGAAUAUAUACAAAAAGAGUGGUGAUAUUGAAAAUGAAAGUGUUUCCCCGGCCAAACGCACAUUCGUGCUAAAUGGCACACAGUUGAUUUAUGUUAUUUUCUAGUUCAUAAGUCCCUUGAGUGCCAUAGAGCAAGAUGUGUGAUGUAUCCUCAUGUAUCCUUUGCAUAUCUUCGAUCAAGAUAUGAGUAUUCGACGAAUUCUCAAUUGAUUAAUUACAUUUUAAAGUUUUUACAAGAAUUGAUUUGUGACGCUUUGCCAAUUUUAACAUAUUAAUAUAUAUAUUAUUUUCAGACGAUGAUCGCUUUAUAUCCCUGUACUGAAAAGAAGUGAGCCCUCGGCAAGAUGUAUGAACGAUUUAAGCCCACAUUUUCAGUUUUUUACCAGAUUAGAUUUGCGAAACGUAGAGUUUAGGUCGUAUCACAGCUCUAACCUGGCAAUUUUGCUUGAAAAAUACCUCCUUUUAGAACAUUUUGAGAUACGCGCACAAUUUUCAAGUGAUCGAAGACAGUUUAAUAAAGAAAAUACAAAAUUUGCAUUUCACUUUAGAAAUACAAAGCAUGUGUGGUAUUUUAUCUCAUACAUAUCUUGUGUUUCUAGGUCAAAUGUGAGUACUCGACGAAUUCCCAAUUGAGAAGACCCAGUUUUAAGUUUGUUACCAGGUCGAUUGAAAAUUACCUAUAUUUGAAGAAGAAUAUAUACAAAAAGAGUGGUGAUAUUGAAAAUGAAAGUGUUUCCCCGGCCAAACGCACAUUCGUGCUAAAUGGCACACAGUUGAUUUAUGUUAUUUUCUAGUUCAUAAGUCCCUUGAGUGCCAUAGAGCAAGAUGUGUGAUGUAUCCUCAUGUAUCCUUUGCAUAUCUUCGAUCAAGAUAUGAGUAUUCGACGAAUUCUCAAUUGAUUAAUUCCAUUUUAAUGUUUUUACAAGAAUUGAUUUGUGACGCUUUGCCAAUUUUAACAUAUUAAUAUAUAUAUUAUUUUCAGACGAUGAUCGCUUUAUAUCCCUGUACUGAAAAGAAGUGAGCCCUCGGCAAGAUGUAUGAACGAUUUAAGCCCACAUUUUCAGUUUUUUACCAGGUUAGAUUUGCGAAACGUUGAGUUUAGGUCGUAUCACAGCUCUAACCUGGCAAUUUUGCUUGAAAAAUACCUCGUUUUAGAACAUUUUGAGAUACGCGCACAUUUUUCAAGUGAUCGAAGACAGUUUAAUAAAGAAAAUACAAAAUUUGCAUUUCACUUUAGAAACACAAAGCAUGUGUGGUAUUUUAUCUCAUACAUAUCUUGUGUUUCUAGAUCAAAUGUGAGUACUCGACGAAUUCCCAAUUGAGAAGACCCCGUUUUAAGUUUGUUACCAGGUCGAUUGAAAAAUACUUAUAUUUGAAGAAGAAUAUAUACAAAAAGAGUGGUGAUAUUGAAAAUGAAAGUGUUUCCCCGGCCAAACGCACAUUCGUGCUAAAUGGCACACAGUUGAUUUAUGUUAUUUUCUAGUUCAUAAGUCCCUUGAGUGCCAUAGAGCAAGAUGUGUGAUGUAUCCUCAUGUAUCCUUUGCAUAUCUUCGAUCAAGAUAUGAGUAUUCGACGAAUUCUCAAUUGAUUAAUUCCAUUUUAAUGUUUUUACAAGAAUUGAUUUGUGACGCUUUGCCAAUUUUAACAUAUUAAUAUAUAUAUUAUUUUCAGACGAUGAUCGCUUUAUAUCCCUGUACUGAAAAGAAGUGAGCCCUCGGCAAGAUGUAUGAACGAUUUAAGCCCACAUUUUCAGUUUUUUACCAGGUUAGAUUUGCGAAACGUUGAGUUUAGGUCGUAUCACAGCUCUAACCUGGCAAUUUUGCUUGAAAAAUACCUCGUUUUAGAACAUUUUGAGAUACGCGCACAUUUUUCAAGUGAUCGAAGACAGUUUAAUAAAGAAAAUACAAAAUUUGCAUUUCACUUUAGAAAUACAAAGCAUGUGUGGUAUUUUAUCUCAUACAUAUCUUGUGUUUCUAGGUCAAAUGUGAGUACUCGACGAAUUCCCAAUUGAGAAGACCCCGUUUUAAGUUUGUUACCAGGUCGAUUGAAAAAUACCUAUAUUUGAAGAAGAAUAUAUACAAAAAGAGUGGUGAUAUUGAAAAUGAAAGUGUUUCCCCGGCCAAACGCACAUUCGUGCUAAAUGGCACACAGUUGAUUUAUGUUAUUUUCUAGUUCAUAAGUCCCUUGAGUGCCAUAGAGCAAGAUGUGUGAUGUAUCCUCAUGUAUCCUUUGCAUAUCUUCGAUCAAGAUAUGAGUAUUCGACGAAUUCUCAAUUGAUUAAUUACAUUUUAAAGUUUUUACAAGAAUUGAUUUGUGACGCUUUGCCAAUUUUAACAUAUUAAUAUAUAUAUUAUUUUCAGACGAUGAUCGCUUUAUAUCCCUGUACUGAAAAGAAGUGAGCCCUCGGCAAGAUGUAUGAACGAUUUAAGCCCACAUUUUCAGUUUUUUACCAGGUUAGAUUUGCGAAACGUUGAGUUUAGGUCGUAUCACAGCUCUAACCUGGCAAUUUUGCUUGAAAAAUACCUCGUUUUAGAACAUUUUGAGAUACGCGCACAUUUUUCAAGUGAUCGAAGACAGUUUAAUAAAGAAAAUACAAAAUUUGCAUUUCACUUUAGAAACACAAAGCAUGUGUGGUAUUUUAUCUCAUACAUAUCUUGUGUUUCUAGAUCAAAUGUGAGUACUCGACGAAUUCCCAAUUGAGAAGUCCCAGUUUUAAGUUUGUUACCAGGUCGAUUGAAAAAUACCUAUAUUUGAAGAAGAAUAUAUACAAAAUGAGUGGUGAUCUUGAAAAUGAAAUGCACAUUCGUGCUAUUUGGCCAACAGUUGAUUUAUGUUAUUUUCUAAUUCAUAAAUCUCUUGUGUGCCAUACAGCAAGAUGUGUGCUUUAUCCUCACGUAUCCUUUGCAUGGCUUAGAUCAAGAUAUGAGUAAUCGACGAAUUCUCAAUUGAGUAAUUCCAGCUUAAAGUUUGUUACAAGAAUGGAUUUGUGACGCUUUGCCAAUUUUAACAUAUUAAUAUAUAUAUUAUUUUCAGACGAUGAUCGCUUUAUAUCCCUGUACUGAAAAGAAGUGAGCCCUCGGCAAAAUGUUUGAACGAUUUAAGGCCCACAUUUUCAGUUUUUUACCAGGUUAGAUUUGCGAAACGUUGAGUUUAGGUCGUAUCACAGCUCUAACCUGGCAAUUUUGCUUGAAAAAUACCUCCUUUUAGAACAUUUUGAGAUACGCGCACAAUUUUCAAGUGAUCGAAGACAGUUUAAUAAAGAAAAUACAAAAUUUGCAUUUCACUUUAGAAACACAAAGCAUGUGUGGUAUUUUAUCUCAUACAUAUCUUGUGUUUCUAGGUCAAAUGUGAGUACUCGACGAAUUCCCAAUUGAGAAGACCCCGUUUUAAGUUUGUUACCAGGUCGAUAGAAAAAUACCUAUAUUUGAAGAAGAAUAUAUACAAAAAGAGUGGUGAUAUUGAAAAUGAAAGUGUUUCCCCGGCCAAACGCACAUUCGUGCUAAAUGGCACACAGUUGAUUUAUGUUAUUUUCUAGUUCAUAAGUCCCUUGAGUGCCAUAGAGCAAGAUGUGUGAUGUAUCCUCAUGUAUCCUUUGCAUAUCUUCGAUCAAGAUAUGAGUAUUCGACGAAUUCUCAAUUGAUUAAUUCCAUUUUAAUGUUUUUACAAGAAUUGAUUUGUGACGCUUUGCCAAUUUUAACAUAUUAAUAUAUAUAUUAUUUUCAGACGAUGAUCGCUUUAUAUCCCUGUACUGAAAAGAAGUGAGCCCUCGGCAAGAUGUAUGAACGAUUUAAGCCCACAUUUUCAGUUUUUUACCAGAACAUUUUGAGAUACGCGCACAAUUUUCAAGUGAUCGAAGACAGUUUAAUAAAGAAAAUACAAAAUUUGCAUUUCACUUUAGAAAUACAAAGCAUGUGUGGUAUUUUAUCUCAUACAUAUCUUGUGUUUCUAGGUCAAAUGUGAGUACUCGACGAAUUCCCAAUUGAGAAGACCCCGUUUUAAAUUUGUUACCAGGUCGAUUGAAAAAUACCUAUAUUUGAAGAAGAAUAUAUACAAAAAGAAUGGUGAUAUUGAAAAUGAAAGUGUUUCCCCGACCAAACGCACAUUCGUGCUAAAUGGCACACAGUUGAUUUAUGUUAUUUUCUAGUUCAUAAGUCCCUUGAGUGCCAUAGAGCAAGAUGUGUGAUGUAUCCUCAUGUAUCCUUUGCAUAUCUUCGAUCAAGAUAUGAGUAUUCGACGAAUUCUCAAUUGAUUAAUUCCAUUUUAAAGUUUUUACAAGAAUUGAUUAGUGACGCUUUGCCAAUUUUAACAUAUUAAUAUAUAUAUUAUUUUCAGACGAUGAUCGCUUUAUAUCCCUGUACUGAAAAGAAGUGAGCCCUCGGCAAGAUGUAUGAACGAUUUAAGCCCACAUUUUCAGUUUUUUACCAGGUUAGAUUGGCGAAACGUUGAGUUUAGGUCGUAUCACAGCUCUAACCUGGCAAUUUUGCUUGAAAAAUACCUCGUUUUAGAACAUUUUGAGAUACGCGCACAUUUUUCAAGUGAUCGAAGACAGUUUAAUAAAGAAAAUACAAAAUUUGCAUUUCACUUUAGAAACACAAAGCAUGUGUGGUAUUUUAUCUCAUACAUAUCUUGUGUUUCUAGAUCAAAUGUGAGUACUCGACGAAUUCCCAAUUGAGAAGUCCCAGUUUUAAGUUUGUUACCAGGUCGAUUGAAAAAUACCUAUAUUUGAAGAAGAAUAUAUACAAAAUGAGUGGUGAUCUUGAAAAUGAAAUGCACAUUCGUGCUAUUUGGCCAACAGUUGAUUUAUGUUAUUUUCUAAUUCAUAAAUCUCUUGUGUGCCAUACAGCAAGAUGUGUGCUUUAUCCUCAUGUAUCCUUUGCAUGGCUUAGAUCAAGAUAUGAGUAUUCGACGAAUUCUCAAUUGAUUAAUUCCAUUUUAAAGUUUUUACAAGAAUUGAUUUGUGACGCUUUGCCAAUUUUAACAUAUUAAUAUAUAUAUUAUUUUCAGACGAUGAUCGCUUUAUAUCCCUGUACUGAAAAGAAGUGAGCCCUCGGCAAGAUGUAUGAACGAUUUAAGCCCACAUUUUCAGUUUUUUACCAGAACAUUUUGAGAUACGCGCACAAUUUUCAAGUGAUCGAAGACAGUUUAAUAAAGAAAAUACAAAAUUUGCAUUUCACUUUAGAAAUACAAAGCAUGUGUGGUAUUUUAUCUCAUACAUAUCUUGUGUUUCUAGGUCAAAUGUGAGUACUCGACGAAUUCCCAAUUGAGAAGACCCCGUUUUAAAUUUGUUACCAGGUCGAUUGAAAAAUACCUAUAUUUGAAGAAGAAUAUAUACAAAAAGAGUGGUGAUAUUGAAAAUGAAAGUGUUUCCCCGGCCAAACGCACAUUCGUGCUAAAUGGCACACAGUUGAUUUAUGUUAUUUUCUAGUUCAUAAGUCCCUUGAGUGCCAUAGAGCAAAAUGUGUGAUGUAUCCUCAUGUAUCCUUUGCAUAUCUUCGAUCAAGAUAUGAGUAUUCGACGAAUUCUCAAUUGAUUAAUUACAUUUUAAAGUUUUUACAAGAAUUGAUUUGUGACGCUUUGCCAAUUUUAACAUAUUAAUAUAUAUAUUAUUUUCAGACGAUGAUCGCUUUAUAUCCCUGUACUGAAAAGAAGUGAGCCCUCGGCAAGAUGUAUGAACGAUUUAAGCCCACAUUUUCAGUUUUUUACCAGAACAUUUUGAGAUACGCGCACAAUUUUCAAGUGAUCGAAGACAGUUUAAUAAAGAAAAUACAAAAUUUGCAUUUCACUUUAGAAAUACAAAGCAUGUGUGGUAUUUUAUCUCAUACAUAUCUUGUGUUUCUAGGUCAAAUGUGAGUACUCGACGAAUUCCCAAUUGAGAAGACCCAGUUUUAAGUUUGUUACCAGGUCGAUUGAAAAUUACCUAUAUUUGAAGAAGAAUAUAUACAAAAAGAGUGGUGAUAUUGAAAAUGAAAGUGUUUCCCCGGCCAAACGCACAUUCGUGCUAAAUGGCACACAGUUGAUUUAUGUUAUUUUCUAGUUCAUAAGUCCCUUGAGUGCCAUAGAGCAAGAUGUGUGAUGUAUCCUCAUGUAUCCUUUGCAUAUCUUCGAUCAAGAUAUGAGUAUUCGACGAAUUCUCAAUUGAUUAAUUCCAUUUUAAUGUUUUUACAAGAAUUGAUUUGUGACGCUUUGCCAAUUUUAACAUAUUAAUAUAUAUAUUAUUUUCAGACGAUGAUCGCUUUAUAUCCCUGUACUGAAAAGAAGUGAGCCCUCGGCAAGAUGUAUGAACGAUUUAAGCCCACAUUUUCAGUUUUUUACCAGGUUAGAUUUGCGAAACGUUGAGUUUAGGUCGUAUCACAGCUCUAACCUGGCAAUUUUGCUUGAAAAAUACCUCGUUUUAGAACAUUUUGAGAUACGCGCACAUUUUUCAAGUGAUCGAAGACAGUUUAAUAAAGAAAAUACAAAAUUUGCAUUUCACUUUAGAAACACAAAGCAUGUGUGGUAUUUUAUCUCAUACAUAUCUUGUGUUUCUAGAUCAAAUGUGAGUACUCGACGAAUUCCCAAUUGAGAAGACCCCGUUUUAAGUUUGUUACCAGGUCGAUUGAAAAAUACUUAUAUUUGAAGAAGAAUAUAUACAAAAAGAGUGGUGAUAUUGAAAAUGAAAGUGUUUCCCCGGCCAAACGCACAUUCGUGCUAAAUGGCACACAGUUGAUUUAUGUUAUUUUCUAGUUCAUAAGUCCCUUGAGUGCCAUAGAGCAAGAUGUGUGAUGUAUCCUCAUGUAUCCUUUGCAUAUCUUCGAUCAAGAUAUGAGUAUUCGACGAAUUCUCAAUUGAUUAAUUCCAUUUUAAUGUUUUUACAAGAAUUGAUUUGUGACGCUUUGCCAAUUUUAACAUAUUAAUAUAUAUAUUAUUUUCAGACGAUGAUCGCUUUAUAUCCCUGUACUGAAAAGAAGUGAGCCCUCGGCAAGAUGUAUGAACGAUUUAAGCCCACAUUUUCAGUUUUUUACCAGGUUAGAUUUGCGAAACGUUGAGUUUAGGUCGUAUCACAGCUCUAACCUGGCAAUUUUGCUUGAAAAAUACCUCGUUUUAGAACAUUUUGAGAUACGCGCACAUUUUUCAAGUGAUCGAAGACAGUUUAAUAAAGAAAAUACAAAAUUUGCAUUUCACUUUAGAAAUACAAAGCAUGUGUGGUAUUUUAUCUCAUACAUAUCUUGUGUUUCUAGGUCAAAUGUGAGUACUCGACGAAUUCCCAAUUGAGAAGACCCCGUUUUAAGUUUGUUACCAGGUCGAUUGAAAAAUACCUAUAUUUGAAGAAGAAUAUAUACAAAAAGAGUGGUGAUAUUGAAAAUGAAAGUGUUUCCCCGGCCAAACGCACAUUCGUGCUAAAUGGCACACAGUUGAUUUAUGUUAUUUUCUAGUUCAUAAGUCCCUUGAGUGCCAUAGAGCAAGAUGUGUGAUGUAUCCUCAUGUAUCCUUUGCAUAUCUUCGAUCAAGAUAUGAGUAUUCGACGAAUUCUCAAUUGAUUAAUUACAUUUUAAAGUUUUUACAAGAAUUGAUUUGUGACGCUUUGCCAAUUUUAACAUAUUAAUAUAUAUAUUAUUUUCAGACGAUGAUCGCUUUAUAUCCCUGUACUGAAAAGAAGUGAGCCCUCGGCAAGAUGUAUGAACGAUUUAAGCCCACAUUUUCAGUUUUUUACCAGGUUAGAUUGGCGAAACGUUGAGUUUAGGUCGUAUCACAGCUCUAACCUGGCAAUUUUGCUUGAAAAAUACCUCGUUUUAGAACAUUUUGAGAUACGCGCACAUUUUUCAAGUGAUCGAAGACAGUUUAAUAAAGAAAAUACAAAAUUUGCAUUUCACUUUAGAAACACAAAGCAUGUGUGGUAUUUUAUCUCAUACAUAUCUUGUGUUUCUAGAUCAAAUGUGAGUACUCGACGAAUUCCCAAUUGAGAAGUCCCAGUUUUAAGUUUGUUACCAGGUCGAUUGAAAAAUACCUAUAUUUGAAGAAGAAUAUAUACAAAAUGAGUGGUGAUCUUGAAAAUGAAAUGCACAUUCGUGCUAUUUGGCCAACAGUUGAUUUAUGUUAUUUUCUAAUUCAUAAAUCUCUUGUGUGCCAUACAGCAAGAUGUGUGCUUUAUCCUCACGUAUCCGUUGCAUGGCUUAGAUCAAGAUAUGAGUAAUCGACGAAUUCUCAAUUGAGUAAUUCCAGCUUAAAGUUUGUUACAAGAAUGGAUUUGUGACGCUUUGCCAAUUUUAACAUAUUAAUAUAUAUAUUAUUUUCAGACGAUGAUCGCUUUAUAUCCCUGUACUGAAAAGAAGUGAGCCCUCGGCAAAAUGUAUGAACGAUUUAAGGCCCACAUUUUCAGUUUUUUACCAGGUUAGAUUUGCGAAACGUUGAGUUUAGGUCGUAUCACAGCUCUAACUUGGCAAUUUUGCUUGAAAAAUACCUCCUUUUAGAACAUUUUGAGAUACGCGCACAAUUUUCAAGUGAUCGAAGACAGUUUAAUAAAGAAAAUACAAAAUUUGCAUUUCACUUUAGAAACACAAAGCAUGUGUGGUAUUUUAUCUCAUACAUAUCUUGUGUUUCUAGAUCAAAUGUGAGUACUCGACGAAUUCCCAAUUGAGAAGACCCCGUUUUAAGUUUGUUACCAGGUCGAUUGAAAAAUACCUAUAUUUGAAGAAGAAUAUAUACAAAAAGAGUGGUGAUAUUGAAAAUGAAAGUGUUUCCCCGGCCAAACGCACAUUCGUGCUAAAUGGCACACAGUUGAUUUAUGUUAUUUUCUAGUUCAUAAGUCCCUUGAGUGCCAUAGAGCAAGAUGUGUGAUGUAUCCUCAUGUAUCCUUUGCAUAUCUUCGAUCAAGAUAUGAGUAUUCGACGAAUUCUCAAUUGAUUAAUUCCAUUUUAAAGUUUUUACAAGAAUUGAUUAGUGACGCUUUGCCAAUUUUAACAUAUUAAUAUAUAUAUUAUUUUCAGACGAUGAUCGCUUUAUAUCCCUGUACUGAAAAGAAGUGAGCCCUCGGCAAGAUGUAUGAACGAUUUAAGCCCACAUUUUCAGUUUUUUACCAGGUUAGAUUGGCGAAACGUUGAGUUUAGGUCGUAUCACAGCUCUAACCUGGCAAUUUUGCUUGAAAAAUACCUCGUUUUAGAACAUUUUGAGAUACGCGCACAUUUUUCAAGUGAUCGAAGACAGUUUAAUAAAGAAAAUACAAAAUUUGCAUUUCACUUUAGAAACACAAAGCAUGUGUGGUAUUUUAUCUCAUACAUAUCUUGUGUUUCUAGAUCAAAUGUGAGUACUCGACGAAUUCCCAAUUGAGAAGUCCCAGUUUUAAGUUUGUUACCAGGUCGAUUGAAAAAUACCUAUAUUUGAAGAAGAAUAUAUACAAAAUGAGUGGUGAUCUUGAAAAUGAAAUGCACAUUCGUGCUAUUUGGCCAACAGUUGAUUUAUGUUAUUUUCUAAUUCAUAAAUCUCUUGUGUGCCAUACAGCAAGAUGUGUGCUUUAUCCUCAUGUAUCCUUUGCAUGGCUUAGAUCAAGAUAUGAGUAUUCGACGAAUUCUCAAUUGAUUAAUUCCAUUUUAAUGUUUUUACAAGAAUUGAUUUGUGACGCUUUGCCAAUUUUAACAUAUUAAUAUAUAUAUUAUUUUCAGACGAUGAUCGCUUUAUAUCCCUGUACUGAAAAGAAGUGAGCCCUCGGCAAGAUGUAUGAACGAUUUAAGCCCACAUUUUCAGUUUUUUACCAGAACAUUUUGAGAUACGCGCACAAUUUUCAAGUGAUCGAAGACAGUUUAAUAAAGAAAAUACAAAAUUUGCAUUUCACUUUAGAAAUACAAAGCAUGUGUGGUAUUUUAUCUCAUACAUAUCUUGUGUUUCUAGGUCAAAUGUAAGUACUCGACGAAUUCCCAAUUGAGAAGACCCCGUUUUAAGUUUGUUACCAGGUCGAUUGAAAAAUACCUAUAUUUGAAGAAGAAUAUAUACAAAAAGAGUGGUGAUAUUGAAAAUGAAAGUGUUUCCCCGGCCAAACGCACAUUCGUGCUAAAUGGCACACAGUUGAUUUAUGUUAUUUUCUAGUUCAUAAGUCCCUUGAGUGCCAUAGAGCAAGAUGUGUGAUGUAUCCUCAUGUAUCCUUUGCAUAUCUUCGAUCAAGAUAUGAGUAUUCGACGAAUUCUCAAUUGAUUAAUUCCAUUUUAAAGUUUUUACAAGAAUUGAUUUGUGACGCUUUGCCAAUUUUAACAUAUUAAUAUAUAUAUUAUUUUCAGACGAUGAUCGCUUUAUAUCCCUGUACUGAAAAGAAGUGAGCCCUCGGCAAGAUGUAUGAACGAUUUAAGCCCACAUUUUCAGUUUUUUACCAGGUUAGAU